Meriones unguiculatus (Mongolian gerbil) is the source of this 2604-nucleotide long non-coding RNA. RefSeq lists it as uncharacterized. The transcript is spliced from 2 exons. The record is from RefSeq and is a predicted model, not a curated record. NCBI's taxonomy places the organism in Eukaryota, Metazoa, Chordata, Mammalia, Rodentia, Muridae.
CCACCAAGAUAUUAUUGCCUCAUGCAACAGCUAAUAUUGACUGUCAACUUGACAGGAUCUAAAAUCAUCAAAGAAAGAAGCCUUUGUACAGGGCUAUGAGGGGUUAUCUAGAUCAGUUUAGCAGAGGUGGCAGAACCAAAGAAGAAAACAGAAGAGCAUUCAUUGCUCUCUGCUUCCUGACUAUGGACACGCAUGACCAGAUACCUCAAGCUCCGGCUACCAUGACUUCCCACUAUGAUGGACAGUAUCCUCAAACUGCCGUUGGAAGCAGUUUGCAGAGAGUAUGAAACUUGACUGAAAGCCCUUGAAUACCUUAAGCAGAGCUUAACAGGCUAUUCUGGUGGGAGCCUGGGAAGAGGAGACUGCUUAGAGAAGAGAAACAAGACAGUAGCAACCAGGCUCAGGAAGUUUCAGAAGGGAAAUACUGCCCCAUUCACGUGACACUCUGAAAAACGCUGCUGCAUUCUGCUCUUGAAUAUUUGAAUUUAAAAGCACUGGACUAAUUUCUUCGGCAGACGGUAGCACAGUUACAGCUCUUACUCAGAUCUACGGUGACAGAGCAAAUAACCAAAUGAGAAAUUUGGUAAAGAAAGUUUCCGUAAGCAAGUUUAAAAUUGCACAUAAGGAGGCUGCCUACAACAAAGUGUGCUGGCCCGUUUAAUGUCAACUCAACACGAGCUAAAGUCAUCUGAGAGGAGGGAACCUCAACUGAGAAACGACCUCUGUAAGAGGGUGGGCAAGCAGGUAGGGCAUUUUCUUAAUUAGUGAUUGACACUGGAGGUGUUAGCCCACUGUGGGUGGGACCACCCUGAGAUGGCACUUUAUGAGAAAGAAAGCAGGCUGAGAAAGUCAUGAGGAACAAACCAAUAAGCAGCACCUCUCCACCACCCCUGCUUCAGCUCCUGCCUCCAGUUUCCUGCCCUGAAGGACUGUUAACGUGAAGUGUAAACAAAAUAAAAGCUUUUCCUUUCCAAGUUGCUGUUGGUCCUGAUAGUUCAGGACCAAAGUCCCAACAAGUUCUGAGAGACGACUGUGUGAAGUUACAAAAGUGAUGCCUAAACCAGGAAUUAUAAUGAAUGCCUUUAAUCCUAGCAACACUCAGAAGGAAAAGGGCAAGGCCUCUGUGAGUUCAAGGACAGCCUGUCCUACAAAGUGAGUUCCAAAAUAGUCAGGGCAGAGAAUCCUUGUCUGGAAACAACAUCAACAACAAACCAACCAAACAGACACAAAAGCCUGAGUUGCACUGGAGACCCCGUAUAUGGAGAAGCUAAAAUAAUGGAAUGUCUGCUGGGGAAGCGCCAGGCAUAGAACAGCGCUGGCUCAAAGGAGGGGCUGCUGCACCACCGUACAGGCGGCAUGGGAGAGCAGGUCUAGACCCAGCUUUCUGAGGCCCAGAUGAUUCCAUCACAAGUUCCAGAUGGCAGACAUGAACUCCAUGAUACAGUGUUUUCCUUGCUGAGUUUGGAUCUUGCUUUGUUCUCAUCUUUCCUUGCAACACCCUCAUUUCCUUCCUUUUGAAAUGAGAAUGUUUACUUGGUAUCACUGUAUGUUGGAGUAUGUAAUUUGUGUUUUGUUGUUCAAGAACUCACAGUUAAGAGAUUGCCUGAGUUUCUGUACAAAAGGUGUUGGAACUGCUAAAGAAUAUGAGGUCUUUUAAAGUUAGAGAAUGUAUUUUUGCAUUGUGAGAUAGCCAUGAUCCUAUAGAGACAAGGAGGGGAAGGCUAUGGCUAAAAGUGAUGUGUUUGAGUUCAAAAGGGUUAGCGUUGUAAUAGUAAUGAUUCUGCACUGACAGAAUCUAAAAACAAGGAGACAAGACUCUAGAUUCCUCUGCUGCAUUAUCUGAUUAGGUUAACUGAUGUAGAAAGACCCACUUUCUAUGUGGGUGAGCCCAUUUCAGGGGUUCAGACUCCAGACCGCAGGAAUGAAGGAAAAGUUGUUUAUAGUAGGCAACAAAGAAUGCAGAAACUAACAACUGGUCAAAGUGCAGAGAACAGGACCUAAUAAGUAGACUACUUCCGCCCUGGUGCAGGGGCAGUCACUGAAAAGAAAGAGAAAGAAUGGAAGUGCCAAACAACAAGGAAGAGUAAUAUGAAAUCCUGUGUUCUGGAUGUGACACAGCCGUAACGCUCAUAAAGUAACACCUGUGGCUACCUAAAUAAGAGCGCACAAGAUGGGGUAUGGAGGGUCGGGAGUGCUAUUUUAAAUGUUCAGUGAUGCAGCCAGUAGUAACUGGUCUAUAGUCCCUCAAGCUCAGGCAAGCACUCAGUGGGUCACCAAACCAAAACCAAAACCUUAUCAGUAAGAGGGAAACUUGUUGGGAAGGAGUUGAAUCAGAGUAGAAAGGAGAUGAGCAAGGAUAACAGACAAUUUACUUGAGCAAAGUUUAGUCUUCAAUAUACAAAAACCAAAAUUAAACUUGAAGAAUGCUAAGACUGAAGGAGUUAUGGAUUCUUUCUCUGCAAUUACAGAACAUUCAUCACUUUGCUUUCUGACUUUGGAUACAAUAUACCAACUGCUUGUCUCUUAGUGCCUGCAGCUAUAACUUUCCCAUCAUAUGGACUGUGCUCUCAAACUAUAAGCUAAAAUAAAUCCUUUCUUCCUUAA